AUGCCAUUCCUCGACACCGACCUUCAAACAAAGUCAGAUGAGGAGCUGGCUUCCCUCAAAGCUGCUCUGGCUGACUUGCCCGUUCCGCUUCUCUCCCGCUUUGGGGCGGUUCUUCCUCCAGCAGCCUAUUCUUUCACAGCUUCUAUGCCAAGGGCUUAUUUAUUAUUAAGAAAAGAAAAAUUAUCUUAUGCAUGCAAGAUGUAUUGGGGUCACAAAAAAUUAUUUCUGAAAAUAAAGCGCUCUUAG
Molecule: long non-coding RNA, 246 nt
Filed under: Vicia faba (fava bean)
Lineage: Eukaryota; Viridiplantae; Streptophyta; Magnoliopsida; Fabales; Fabaceae
Source: RNAcentral